GAUGAACGCUGGCGGCGUGCCUAAUACAUGCAAGUCGAACGCUGGAGAUCUAGCUUGCUAGAUCGAAGGAGUGGCGAACGGGUGAGUAAUACAUAAGCAACCUACCCACGAAGACUGGGAUAAUCUCUGGAAACGGGGACUAAUACCGGAUAGGUAAUCGGAAGGCAUCUUCUGGUUAUUAAAGGUUAAAAACACUGGUGGAUGGGCUUAUGGCGCAUUAGUUAGUUGGUGAGGUAACGGCCCACCAAGACGAUGAUGCGUAGCCGGCCUGAGAGGGUGAACGGCCACAUUGGGACUGAGACACGGCCCAGACUCCUACGGGAGGCAGCAGUAGGGAAUUUUCGGCAAUGGGGGCAACCCUGACCGGGCAACGCCGCGUGAGUGAAGACGGCCUUCGGGUUGUAAAGCUCUGUUGUAAGGGAAGAACGGUAGAUAGAGAAUAUCUAAGUGACGGUACCUUACCAGAAAGCCCGGCUG
This 477-nucleotide ribosomal RNA is filed under the name Solobacterium moorei. RNAcentral's name for it is "bacterial SSU rRNA". It matches the Rfam family "Bacterial small subunit ribosomal RNA", at positions 28 to 499 of the family's 1533-position model. Lineage: Bacteria; Bacillati; Bacillota; Erysipelotrichia; Erysipelotrichales; Erysipelotrichaceae. The record is from RNAcentral.